UACGUAGGGUGCGAGCGUUGUCCGGAAUUAUUGGGCGUAAAGAGCUCGUAGGCGGUCUGUCGCGUCGGUUGUGAAAACCCAAGGCUCAACCUUGGGCCUGCAAUCGAUACGGGCAGACUAGAGGUACUGCAGGGAGACUGGAAUUCCUGGUGAUAGCGGUGGAAUGCGCAGAUAUCAGGAGGAACACCGGUGGCGAAGGCGGGUCUCUGGGCAGUAACUGACGCU
This 225-nucleotide ribosomal RNA is filed under the name uncultured bacterium. RNAcentral describes it as "partial 16S ribosomal RNA". It matches the Rfam family "Bacterial small subunit ribosomal RNA", at positions 524 to 747 of the family's 1533-position model. The record is from RNAcentral.